GAUGAACGCUGGCGGCGUGCCUAAUACAUGCAAGUCGAGCGAACAGAUAAGGAGCUUGCUCCUUUGACGUUAGCGGCGGACGGGUGAGUAACACGUGGGUAACCUACCUAUAAGACUGGGAUAACUUCGGGAAACCGGAGCUAAUACCGGAUAAUAUUUCGAACCGCAUGGUUCGAUAGUGAAAGAUGGUUUUGCUAUCACUUAUAGAUGGACCCGCGCCGUAUUAGCUAGUUGGUAAGGUAACGGCUUACCAAGGCGACGAUACGUAGCCGACCUGAGAGGAUGAUCGGCCACACUGGAACUGAGACACGGUCCAGACUCCUACGGGAGGCAGCAGUAGGGAAUCUUCCGCAAUGGGCGAAAGCCUGACGGAGCAACGCCGCGUGAGUGAUGAAGGUCUUCGGAUCGUAAAACUCUGUUAUUAGGGAAGAACAUACGUGUAAGUAACUGUGCACGUCUUGACGGUACCUAAUCAGAAAGCCACGGCUAACUACGUG
This 497-nucleotide ribosomal RNA is filed under the name uncultured bacterium. RNAcentral describes it as "partial 16S ribosomal RNA". It matches the Rfam family "Bacterial small subunit ribosomal RNA", at positions 28 to 507 of the family's 1533-position model. The record is from RNAcentral.